UUCGUAUUGUAUUCUCCGAGUACAUUAACUGUAACAUUAUAUGACGAAAAUAAAUAACGAUACAUUUAGUUAAAGGAGAAAAUAUUCCACUGUCAAGCAUAUCCUUUAUUUUACACAAGUUAUUGCCAAGAAGCCGCCCAAAGAGGGCAACUGACCCCACCACUUUCAGUUCAGCCUCCAUAAAAACCUUAGCCUCCAAGAAGGAAGUGUUAUUAUGAGCAAAAGCAACCCGGAUGAAGCUUUGCUACUACAGUGACAUUUGGUUAAUUAGCCUGACAAGUUACCUUUUCUUUUGGUUUCUUGUGUCUUAGGAUAAUAAAUGUGACGACUCCGUUGGUGCCCGAGGUUUUCUUAACUGUGUGAAGCUGUCAUUUAUUUAUUUAUUAAGUU
Polypterus senegalus (gray bichir) is the source of this 390-nucleotide long non-coding RNA. RefSeq lists it as uncharacterized. The transcript has 3 exons. The record is from RefSeq and is a predicted model, not a curated record. NCBI's taxonomy places the organism in Eukaryota, Metazoa, Chordata, Cladistia, Polypteriformes, Polypteridae.